Small nucleolar RNA from Balaenoptera musculus (blue whale), 109 nucleotides. NCBI's taxonomy places the organism in Eukaryota, Metazoa, Chordata, Mammalia, Artiodactyla, Balaenopteridae. The record is from Ensembl.
GUCCUGUGGUUACCAGGUGCUGUUGUUCAGGUACAGCACUCCAGUGGAUUCGAGGGGCCAGAGCAAUCUGGUUCAUACAGGGGUCUUCCCUUCCUCAGCUGGUACAUAG